GUCGCGCACCCAAGAACCGGCCCUGGCCUCGACGAUGCGGGCGACGUCGAUACGCGCCUGGAUGCCGGCAGCCUCAAAGGCGUCCAUGCACAAAAGUGGCGCGGCAGUCGCCAAGUAGAGUGGGUGCGGAUGCCGCGUCGGCCGUCGCCCAUGCACGAUCGACCGCGAGCAGGCGGUUACAAUGCCGUCACGCGACAGAAACCGCCACUGUUGGGGCAUGGGGCAACCGUGAGACAGCGCCCAUAUGAUGCAGAUGGGAGUGCACAGUCGCGUGCCGUCGUCGUUGAGGGAUCGUCUGGGGUGCCAAGGUAUGCCAGCGAGACGCUGGCGCGCGAGCGUCUCGACGGGCGGACAACCAUCGCCACGGCAACAGAUGUCGAAAGGGGGACGAGGGGCAGCAGCAGACGGCGGAUUGGCGGCGAGCCACGACGCCACGCCAGAGGCACCUUUUCUGACCGCAUCCGACCACAUGCGCCUGUAGAGGGCGUUGUUGUUGAUCCAUCCGCGACCAUGAGCCUGGCGGACCAAGUCGAGACGGUCCGCUUUGGAUGCGCGGACCAGGGCCGGGGCGUCAAGCGGCGCGCACCCGAGCACGUCCACGGCAUAGUCAACGAUGGCGGGCGACUUUGGAAGUGCACCCAAAAGUUGGCCGCCCAUACGCAGCAGGUCGAUCGGCACGACGAGGCCCUUGGCGCGCAUCCACUCCAACGACGAGGGCGAGGGCGCGAGCGCCGCAUGGAGGGCCAAAAGGCGGGGUUCGCCUGGGUGCCGCUGCUGUUGGAUCAUCCGCGGGUACUUGCCGUCGAGCCAAUCGAGUACAGCGCUGUGGCCGCCUCGGAGCGCGGCCUCAAACACUUUGAGGGAGUUGGACGACUCGGGCCACGUCGCGUCGAUCCAGUUCAAUGCGUCGAUUGCGCCGGCACGCGCGGCGCCUUUGGAUAAGGGGGUCAUUUUGGGAUGCUCGCCGUCGGGGCGAUACGGCGUAUCGAAUGUGCUUUCAUCGGUGGCGUGGCCGCCGGCGUGGGCCCACUGCAAAAGGUCCAGGCGUCCCGCGGUCGCCGCGGCCCGCCAGAUCGCCCAACGGCUGUGCCACGGUCUCUCCAGCAAGUCCUCUUUCAGGAAACGGGUAACGAGAUCAAUGUCGCCCGACCGCGCCAAUAGUGGCAGGACGAGAUGCAGGGCGCGCGACCAACAACGGCGCUGUCGGUCGGUAAUCGGGCCACGGACGGCGAUCAAGGCAUCGAGGUCUGCGACGACGCUGCGCGCGUUGCCCUCUCGGAGGGCGCACGCCCAAGGCCACACGUCGGCCUCGCGGCCACCGCCACAGCGCGGACAGAAAAAGCAGGCGAUAUCGCGCGUGGGCGGCGACAAUCCGUGAGCGUCGUCGUCCUUGCCGUCGGGAUCGCAGUCGACCCAAGGGUGCUGCUGGCGGCGCAUCCACGCAGCCAGUUUCGCAUGACCUUGUGCGACGGCCGCUAUGAGAUGGCCGACGUGCAGGAAUCGCGCACCAGCACGCGCUUCGAGGAAACGGACGCGAGCCGCCCACCCGACCAACAGUCGCCCCGGCGCGACGCCGGCGGCGACAACGUUGGCGGCCGUCUCUUCGAUAAACUGGUCGCGCCAUCGGUCGGGAGCGGCCGAGAUGACGGCCUGCCACCGUUUGCACACGCGCGCCAUAAUGGGUGCCGCGGCUGUGCCCAAGUCGACAACGAGGAUGCGAUACAGCAGAUCGUCACAAAGAAUCGCGUUGAUGCUGCCGCCGUGCAUGUCUUUUUUCUGAUAGAUAGGCGUUGGCCUCGUCUCGAAAGCAUGCGCCCGAACAGUGUGAGGAACAAAAGAACAGACACAAAGACCGCGCGCGCGAGCAAAAAGAAAGGCCGCCUUGCGAUUGCGCACGCUCCAAGAAAAAAGACUAUUGGAUAAAAAAUAAGAAAAUAGAUAACAAAAAUCGCCUGA
Molecule: long non-coding RNA, 1956 nt
Filed under: Pandoravirus neocaledonia
Description: hypothetical ncRNA
Source: RNAcentral